CUCUUUGGUCGAAUGGAGAAGUGUCAUAAUAUGGUCUAUAAAUGCUGGUAUAAGUCUAGUGUUUGCUCUUUAUAUGAUAAAAUCGCAAUAAAAUUAAUAAAUUCGAAACAAGUUAAAUUAACAUGUUUAUUAGUUUAGAAAUUACAUAUACAUGUAAUUCUAUUUUUAUUAAUGUUUUAUCUCAUUCUAGUCAUGAUCAAAUUUUUAUAAAAUUAUUUUUUACAGUAUAUUUUAUUUUAAGGACUUUCCUAUUUUCUUCUAGGGAUAGUAAUGAAAACCCGAGGUCUGGUUUUUGUUACGACCUUUAGUUCUCUAGGUAUGAUAUUAGUGUGUAUAAUUGGAUGUAUUCUUCUUGUCAAGCCGAAUUUGCGAGAAAGUAAUUAUAUAAACUAGAUAUUAAUGAAAUAAAUAAAACUUUUAGAGUUUUUAAUUCAUUAAAAUAUACUAAUUGAAUAUAAAUUUGUUAUAUCCUGAAAGGAGCUCUAAUAAUGUGCUUCGGUACCGGAGUUAUGGUAUGGGCAAGAGUCGAUAUAAUACCAAUACUAAAUAGACCACUUCAAGGACAUCGCCUUAACAACCCAGAGGAGAAAGAUGAAUGACGCACCUAUCAUAACCUAAUCCUUAAAUAAAAUUUUGAAAAUGAGAAACACUAGAUUUCUUACUUUUCCAAGCAUCAUCUAGUGUCUUGUUCACAUUUAUGAUAAACACAACCGAUGUAAAUUUUAUUGGUCCUUUUAUUAGUAGUGAUUAGAAUAGUAUUACUCAAACUUUUGCAUGCACGUACAUGUAUUUACUAAAAAUUGAAAAGACAUAUUUAAUAUUAAUAUAAUUAUAUAUUUUCUUAGGCAUCUACUCUUCAUGCAUAUCUAGUCGUUAGCAUUGUCUCUCUCUUAAGGUAUAAGUUGGAUGGGAGUAAUUCCAGGGGCAGCAUUAGCCUCUUUGGUCGAAUGGAGAAGUGUCAUAAUAUGGUCUAUAAAUGCUGGUAUAAGCUAGUGUUUGCUCUUUAUAUGAUAAAAUCGCAAUAAAAUUAAUAAAUUCGAAAUAAGUUAAAUUAAC
RNAcentral lists this long non-coding RNA (1056 nucleotides) under Lathyrus oleraceus (garden pea). Its description in RNAcentral is "Pisum sativum (pea) long non-coding RNA (PSAT_LNC040423)". Lineage: Eukaryota; Viridiplantae; Streptophyta; Magnoliopsida; Fabales; Fabaceae. The record is from RNAcentral.